UUUCCGUAGGUGAACCUGCGGAAGGAUCAUUAAUGAGUUGUCAUGGGGUUCGAUGCUGGCAGCCAAUUUUUGGAUGCAUGUGCUUGCCCUAACAAUCAUCUUCCAAACACCUGUGCACAGUUUUGAGGGAGUCUUGAGUUGGUUGCCGCUCUUGGGUGAUUUUCUCACAUUCCCUUAAAUCAUUAUACGCUAUUAACAAUGUUGAACGUGCUCUGUGCCGCAAGGCUAUUAAUAUAAUACAACUUUUAACAACGGAUCUCUUGGCUCUC
Molecule: unclassified non-coding RNA, 269 nt
Filed under: plant metagenome
Description: partial contains small subunit ribosomal RNA, internal transcribed spacer 1, and 5.8S ribosomal RNA
Source: RNAcentral